GUUAUGUUUGAAAUCCUGUAAAAGAGGCAGCCUCUUUACAAUAAAACACAGAGAUGUUCAGUUACUCAAAUGAUUCUUUUAAUUUCAAAUGGGUAGUAUAAAAUAUAUAAUAAGAUACAUUAAGUAGUUAUGUAUUGUCACUUAGGUGAAAUAGAAUUUUUGUUGAAUAUUUCCAACUUUUUAAACUUGGAUAGGAAAGACUAACUGGUUAAUAUUUUUGUUAUCUUUUGUUAUUUAUUUUUUAAUGAUUUGUUUAUCUUACUCACCUUUUCUGUCUAAAAUCUGUCUAUUCAGUGGUUUGCAACAUGAUGGAUUGGAAAGUUGUAAAUCAAGAAUAGAAUGCAUAUUAUACCUUAGUAAUGAUGAAAAGUUCUU
RNAcentral lists this long non-coding RNA (375 nucleotides) under Bos taurus (domestic cattle). Its description in RNAcentral is "long non-coding RNA NONBTAT006654". Lineage: Eukaryota; Metazoa; Chordata; Mammalia; Artiodactyla; Bovidae. The record is from RNAcentral.